UCUCCCUAUCCCUAUACGUCCUACUCUUCUUCGAGCUGUAAUUGGACUCUCUCAUUGUCUGAUUUUUCGUUAAUUAAUAGAAUCUAUCGAGUGGUUUUGAUAUAUAUUUAUUUUCCUUCCCUGAUUUGUGGGCAUUAUUGUGUCUCUCUCAUAACUAGCAACAUUCUUGUGGUUACCUUUUUGCUGAAAAGAAAAGACUCUAACAAUCCGAUUCUUAAAUAAAGAGUCUAAUAGUCAGAUUCUUAACUUUUCAUUGUCAAGUUAAGAAAAGAAAGAGUGUAACAAUCAGAUUCUUCAAGACUGCGUCCUGUUGAGACGUUUGUUGUGUUAACUGAUUGAUCGACCAUUCUAACUGCAGAUGAAAUAUCUUAGUAUGGUUUGGGAAGGUAUGGGAGCGUCAGCUGGUUUUGCUGCAAGCUUUCUUGGGAUAGUUUUGAGUCCGUCCAACUCAUCCCAUUUUGCCUAUGUGUGUCUUCCCAAUGCAAACAAUGACUCCUCUGUAAUUAGGAUUUUUGUCAACUUUGUCAGCUUUUGGAUUUACGAGUCCAGCUCCUUUCGAGGUAUAGUUGGAGAUGUACAUGUCUGUUUAAUGAGUGCGAGUGUUUGUUUAAAGUUAAUAUCCUCCAAGUUUUAUGUUUAGAUCUUGGUUUUGGGGCAAUAAUGGUAAGAACCAGCUUAAUUUUUUUCAGCGAGAUUGCAGUGAAGCGUGACACAAAUUAAUAAGCAAAUUCAGUAUAUUUUCGGUUAAAGGAAUCCUAUAUGGAAUGUUUGAGUGGAGAAGUGCCUAAGAGUUGCUCUAGUUGGUUCAAGAGUUGUUUUAGUAACUGUACUUUCUUUCAGUAUGGAACAUAAUCAUUUUCUUAUGGUGGAUUCUAUGAAACUCUUCCCUUUACUACAUAAGUAAUGCAUAUAGGAUGUCGAUCCCCAUGGGUAAUGGAUUCCCAUAAAAGGGGGUGUUGCUGCAAGACUCUGGAGGAAAGAGGGCAAGAUCGGUACUGAACCGAGCUGGAGUACUGUCGAAAAUCAGAUCGAUGUAGCCCACGAGUGAGCCUGCAAAAGAAGUACUACAACCGAUGGGAUACUCUCCAGUUUAGGACCCUCCAAUGCUGAAGUCAGCCGGGAUCUUGGGAACAGAUAGUGGAAAUAGAGAAAAUGAAAAGUGAAAAGAGAAGUUUUGGUGGAGAGAACGAGAGUUUUUGGUUUCCGUCAAUGGAGGAAAGAGUUCAGUAGAGUCUAAGCUCUGUGUAUCAUGACCUACCUUUCGGAGAGUAUCUUGUCUCUUUUUAUAUAGAGGAGAUUUGCUUAGGCCAUUAGGCUGUUGAGAGAAUUUAUUAGGCUGUUAGGGAUUUGUUAGGCCGUUAGUUUCUUAUAACAGAAUAGCCAGCUAUAUGGAGAUCGUGGGCUGUUUGCCCAUGUGGCUAUUGGCUGUAGUAUAGCUGGAAGAUAGCCGUUACAGAGCUAGAUAGUAACUGAUUUAGCACACCUGAUUCUUGAUCACAUCGGAUUAUUACCGAUGUCUUUUGUGGCAGAUCGAAUAGAAGCUAAGCUACUCAAUCUUGAGAUCAAACUAAUCCAGAUCAGCAUAAAAUCGAUUUGAGAAGUGAACUAGAUCGGUAUUUUGCCGAUCUGACCCAAUAGUUGAUUUUCAGAUGAUUUUUUCUGGUUCUACCACGUGGUCAUAGAUUGGUUAAUUGUACCAACACAUACCCCCCACUUUUCAAAUUUGAAGUGAAAAUUUUCACAUCAGAUAUGAAAAGUAAGUUAAAAAAUCUCACUUGAUCUGUGCUAUCAAUAAUAAAUGCACCGUAUGACGAUUGAUAGCAUUAAUUUUUUAAUCAUUCGAAAUGGCAUGUCAUAUUUCGGAAACAUCUCAUCAAACUUUCCAGCAAUUAUGAGGGUCUAGAGAAUUGAGAAUUCAUUAUUGCCUAGAAGAUCACACCGAUAUGGGCUGAUUCUCUGCUUGCCACAUGUCAUUUUACUGUUGGCUAUAUCAACUGUCGCACGGGUCAGAUUGCGUGGCUUGAUCAGAGAGAGGUACGUUGAAAGGUCUCUCAUCAAAGUCGUUGAAUUACGGCCAAGUGGCAUCGAUUCGACGGCAAACCUGAUUAAUCUGAAUCGCUGAUGUGUUCUAUAAAUAGGCCUGUACUCCGUUUGAAAACUACUUUAACUUUUUCUCUGUGCGAAAGUUCUGCCAAAAUCUUUUUCGAGCUUUCUCAACACUACCGAAGCUGGAGAAGUUCCUUGGUGUCGCCAGAGUCAGGCAAGAGACCAUUGGAGCCAAGACAGAGUUCUUAGAAGCUUUCUUGGAACUUCUUUCCCGUUUAUUAGAUAGAUUUCUUUAUCCUUGGUCUUCUCCUUGUGCGAUUUUAGGGUUUUAGGUUUCAUUUGUCUUAUGUUUUUCCUUUCUAAAUAGUUUUCCUCUCCUUUUGCUCACUUUCCCCAUUCUAUUUUGCUCUCUUUUUCCUUCCUUCAAAAGAUGUCUUCCGAUAAUAGUGAGAUAAGUUGGGACAAUUGUGUAUCUCGGUUGAUCCAACCUCUGCUCGAGUUCGAAGUGGAAACUUCAAUACUUCAGAUCGAGAGAACUCGGAGUCUCCCAUAAGGAGAUUUUUGGAUUACUUCGAUCCUGGUAUUGAACAAUUUGUCCUGUCCGAUCUCGAUCUUCAGAAACUUAAGGAUAAAUACUAGAGUUCUGAAGAAUUUCAAUUGAUAGCUCUAGGUUGGGAUUAUAGGAUUACUGAACCUCCAGAAAAUUGUAUUGCAUUUUAUGAUGAGGUACUUCGGUCCGGACUUCGGUUUUUCUUAUAUCCUUUCAUUAGUAAUAUCUUAGAUUUCUAUUGGUUUUAUCCGACCCAAGUUACUCCUAAUGCCAUUAGGAUGAUCAUUGUUUUUAUCAUCUGUUGUCGGUUUGCUGCCAUAGAACUUAGGAUUUCUUUUUUUAGGAUACUGUUUGUCCUUAAAAAACAUCCUUAUGAAAAAGACUGGUGGUAUUUUCCACCUCGACCUAAGUGUAAAUUCAGUCUUGCUCUUCCUUCUUCUAUUCACAACUAGAAGAAUUGUUUCUCUUUUGUGUCUUCAAGUGUUCCAUAGGGUUUCAGUUGCAACUGGCAUAAGCCUGAGACCAAAUGGAAUUCCAAUAAUGAGGUACUACUUAAGGAUGAGGAGGCUUUUGCAGAGCUAUUGGGUAUGAAGGUAUCCAAGCUAAGCCAACUGGCGAGCAAUCAAUCUCUUUUUGAUGUUGGCAUCAGUCAAAUCUCUCUCCAAGCAUUCAUGAAGUUCGAUCCCAAGAGGAUGGCAGAGGCGAAAAAGAGAAAAUAAGAUCCUGUUGCCUAACUUGCCGCAAUAAAAGAAGAAUCAACUCCAGGAAAAGAUGAACACAAUAAAAGAGAAAAAUCAACAGCUUUUGGACAAUCAGUGCAGAAUGAAUGAGCAGGAAGACAAGUUGCAGAAGGAGAUAGAGAAGAUCUCUGAGCUCGAGGCUAAGUUGAAGGAGGCUGAAUCAGUGAUCAAGAAGCACGACUCGGCCCUCAUCUCAUAUCAACGACAACUCGAGAAAAAUAAGGAGUGCAUUUCAAGGGCUAUUGAAGACUUCAAGGCUUUGGAUGCAUUUUAGGAUGAAGUCACAAAAGCUUUUGAGGGGGCCUUGAACUUUGGGUUUUUGAGCUAUAGAAACCUGGUCAUGAAACUUUUUCCUGACCUGGAUCCGAGCAAAGUUACCGUCGAAGUGGCCAUUGCAGCAGCAAUCGAGGUCACCUUCAGGGAGGCGAGCAUGGUCAUCCACCAAUCGAUGUCGGAUGUCACUUUGGCUGCUGCUGAGGUGGCCCAAUUAAUUGCGGAAGUGGCUCCUCAGUUCAUACUGAGGUCCUUCCUGUUGACGUCUUAGCUCCUCCAACAGAGAUCCCAUCAACUCGUGCUGAGGUCCCGGCUGUUGAAGUCAUCUUCUACGACUGACAAGGGUCCGACUUCAGUUUCUACUCCUUCUGACUGUCCUCAGGCUAAUAUCUGAUAUGUAAUUUUCUUUUUCUUUUUGAUCUUUUGUAUCAGCCUGAUGUGGGCUUUUGUAAAUAUUUUUCACACCAAUGAAAAAAAUUUUCUU
Molecule: non-coding RNA, 4093 nt
Organism: Elaeis guineensis (African oil palm)
Lineage: Eukaryota; Viridiplantae; Streptophyta; Magnoliopsida; Arecales; Arecaceae
Source: RefSeq, a predicted model, not a curated record